ACCUUUGUUGACUGUGUUGUAUCGAUCUGCACAGCAGUAGCAUGGCAGAAGGAGAAAAAUAGAUCCAAUGAAAGAUAGACAGAUGCUGCAAAAGUUGGAAACCCUGUAAUGCUUUACAGCAGUGGUGCUCUGGAAAUGACUGGUAAACAGCUACUUGUUAGUUCCUUCAGAAUAUCGAGAAUGGGUUCAAGCACAAUUUAAAUCAUUUUUAUAGUGGAAAUGGAGGCUGAAGAAAACGAGUGGCUGGAAGAUUUAAAUGAAGGCAUGGAGCAAGGGUGUCUACAGGAAAAUGUGACGCAUGAUGGUGAUAUGGAAAAUCUACACAUUGAGAGUUCGCAGGCUGUUAAUAUUUCCUGCAUUUCAUGUGUCUGUCCCAAGCCUGAACCCUGAAAGCUUGAAGCAGGAGUUUUUUUGGUACCAAUAAAAAUAGUUUACUUUAA
Molecule: long non-coding RNA, 440 nt
Organism: Rhineura floridana
Lineage: Eukaryota; Metazoa; Chordata; Lepidosauria; Squamata; Rhineuridae
Exons: 3
Source: RefSeq, a predicted model, not a curated record